This 1505-nucleotide long non-coding RNA is filed under the name Mus pahari (shrew mouse). RNAcentral describes it as "lncRNA (MGP_PahariEiJ_G0006358.1)". The stretch from base 524 to 625 matches the Rfam family "Maternally expressed 3 conserved region 2". Lineage: Eukaryota; Metazoa; Chordata; Mammalia; Rodentia; Muridae. The record is from RNAcentral.
AGAAGACGAAGAGCUGGAAUAGAGCUCGCCUCGGCUCUGCUGGCCUUGGCUGCAGCUCUUCCAGAAACCCAGGGCGCCCACAGAAGAAUCUCUUACCUGGCUCUCUCUUCAGGGAUGACAUCAUCGGCUCACACCAGUCUUCCAGGACCACCUUCCAGAUGCCAAGGCUGCUGCUCGAGUACCUGCUGUGCAUCUCUACCUCCUGAGCCAAGGAGCAUGGAUUCCAGGAACCCACUACCAUUCAGAGCAACUCCUCGUGGACCCCCUCCCCCCCCCGAUCAGGACAGCGAGGGACAAGAGACAAAGAGGAUCAUCAGUGGCCAGCUAGUCUCUCUGGGGUUCAAACCUUGAACCAGUGCCCUAGUGAGGGGGCACUGGCCAUGACCCUUGACCUUUGCUCUGCUUGUGUCUUGAGUCUGAGUCCUUUCCUGUACAUCUGUGCUUGUGUUCAUCUGCUAGUGAACUGGAGUGCUGCCCUCCCCGAGGGGGGUCGUCCCUUGUGACUGACCAUGCUGUCCUAACAAUGGCCUGAGCAAAAGGGUCCCAUUGGGAACCUCUCAGGAGGGGGACCCGGGUCAGGGGCGACCAGCAUCUUGCUGGCAACUCCGUGGGUGGGGUGGGGCGGGGUGCUUCCUUCUGGAAUGAGCACGUGGCUGACCCCAAAGGCAUGUCCCCUCCCCCUCCUCCACCCACCUUCUCAGAGAUGUCCCUUUUGGGGUAGUGGGGACAUUAGGAGCAACCUCCUAGGGUUGUUGUGAGAAUUAAAUGAACUGCAGCAGCCUGAGGCAGGGCUGGGCAGAGACCUCAGCACAUGUUUGUUGAAAGGUUUGCAGGUGGAUCUAGCCCUCCCGUUCAUGGCUCAUGUGUCUCAACCAUUCUCCCACAGACUCCUGCAGCCCCUAUGCCCAGGGCUCUCCUUGCGCCAGGUAGGGGCUCCUAAACAACAGGACGUCCGGGAGACUUUGAGUAAGGACACGAAUAAAGUGUGUGGUCAUUUCCAGGGCACUUUCUACAUAAUGUGACCGUGUUAUUCCUGUCAUUCGUGUGUCAAAGGGGGUAGCCUAGUGUCUAGAGAGGAGGGGUAAAUUGGCAUUGAUUUUAUUUUUAUUUUUAUUUUUUUCAAGAUUUUUAAAGAGGUAGGUGGGAAAGAGAACUGGGAGAGCCCGGACUCACUCAUGAGAUUGAACUUAAAUUCACACUGAGGACACUUGGACUCUUGCCACAUUGGGUAAGAGAAGGGGUCAAAGUUGGACCCGGGUGCCAUUGUGGCGACCCCUGAUGGUCCAAUCCCCUGUCCUCCACCUAAAGUUCUUCAAUCCAUACCAAACAUUUCACAGUGGGGAAUCCUAGCUUCCCAAGGGUGGUCUUGGGAGCUGCUGGGGGAGGGGGUGGGGUGGCCCAAGUCUGGUAGCACGUGCUGACCUCACCUCUUAGGAAUGGUGUGACCUUAAACAAGUCAUUUAGUUUCCAGGUUUCAGUUCCUUUCACACCUAAAUAGGCAUUUC